RNAcentral lists this small RNA (109 nucleotides) under Salmonella enterica. RNAcentral's name for it is "partial 6S RNA". It matches the Rfam family "6S / SsrS RNA", at positions 76 to 187 of the family's 187-position model. Rfam says of the family: E. coli 6S RNA was the first non coding RNA to be sequenced, but its function was unknown until recently. The record is from RNAcentral. Lineage: Bacteria; Pseudomonadati; Pseudomonadota; Gammaproteobacteria; Enterobacterales; Enterobacteriaceae.
GUUGGUGAGCAUGCUCGGUUCGUCCGAGAAGCCUUAAAACUGUGACGACACAUUCACCUUGAACCAAGGGUUCAAGGGUUACAGCCUGCGGCGGCAUCUCGGAGAUUCC